CAGACAAGCUGUUGAAUAAGCUGCCGAAUAAAUUGCGACUUUAUUUUCAAGUUAACCUGGUAUAUAUUCUCUCAGACAAGCUGUUGAAUAAACUGCCGAAUAAGUUGGGACUUUAUUUUCAAGUUAACCUGGUAUAUAUUCUACCAGACAAGCUUUUGAGUAAGCUGCCGAAUAAAUUGCGACUUUAUUUUCAAGU
Molecule: non-coding RNA, 196 nt
Organism: Rhopilema esculentum
Lineage: Eukaryota; Metazoa; Cnidaria; Scyphozoa; Rhizostomeae; Rhizostomatidae
Source: RefSeq, a predicted model, not a curated record